AGCGAACGCUGGCGGCAGGCCUAACACAUGCAAGUCGAACGCCCCUUCGGGGGAGUGGCGGACGGGUGAGUAACGCGUGGGAACGUGCCCUUUGGUACGGAACAACUGAGGGAAACUUCAGCUAAUACCGUAUGUGCCCCCAUUCUUAGCGGGAUGGGUGGGAAAGAUUUAUCGCCAUUGGAGCGGCCCGCGUUAGAUUAGCUAGUUGGUAGGGUAAUGGCCUACCAAGGCGACGAUCUAUAGCUGGUCUGAGAGGAUGAUCAGCCACACUGGGACUGAGACACGGCCCAGACUCCUACGGGAGGCAGCAGUGGGGAAUCUUGCGCAAUGGGCGAAAGCCUGACGCAGCCAUGCCGCGUGAAUGAUGAAGGUCUUAGGAUUGUAAAAUUCUUUCACCGGGGACGAUAAUGACGGUACCCGGAGAAGAAGCCCCGGCUAACUUCGUG
Molecule: ribosomal RNA, 446 nt
Filed under: uncultured bacterium
Lineage: Bacteria
Also listed under: 1 other name
Description: bacterial SSU rRNA
Rfam family: Bacterial small subunit ribosomal RNA
Source: RNAcentral